GAGCUCACCAUUAGGAGGCUCUCUUGGGGAAGGGGAAGUUGGUCUUUGGAGCCCGGGAGACUCCCAACAUUUAGAAUUCAGAAAAUACUUUGAGAAGGAAAAUUUUAUUUGAGGCUUUCCAAAGCUCCAAUUUUGUCACUCAAACCCAGUAUGUGAUGCAUUUUCAAAACUGAACGGGUUAAGAAGAAUAUGAUUGACUCUUCAAUGGUCUUGACCAAGACGAAUCACAGUCGCCUCCCCAGAAUCCUUGCAACUUAACAACCCUUGCGUUUGCUGCUUCAGCCCAGAGAGAAGGGCCCGAUCGGACGCUAUGCCUGAUGCUGUCAGGACAAACAGACGUGCAGUCUGUGCAAACUCUUUGCGCGGUAGGAGCUUAUGCUUAAACCGCUUUCUCCAAAGCCUCCCAGCAAGGGAAGUAAAAAGACUUUCCACCCAGUGCCCAAGACGUACCACUGUACUGCAUCGGUCCCACCGUCCUCUUUCCUGACCCUGGAGGGUUAAAUCAGGAGGGUACAACGCCACCCCUUCCUACUACUUCCCGCCUCCCCCCACCCCUCACCUUUAAAAAGUUAAAAAAUGUCUGCAGUCGAAAUCUCUUAAAGGGG
Molecule: long non-coding RNA, 605 nt
Organism: Ictidomys tridecemlineatus (thirteen-lined ground squirrel)
Lineage: Eukaryota; Metazoa; Chordata; Mammalia; Rodentia; Sciuridae
Source: RefSeq, a predicted model, not a curated record